Molecule: ribosomal RNA, 376 nt
Filed under: uncultured Serratia sp.
Lineage: Bacteria; Pseudomonadati; Pseudomonadota; Gammaproteobacteria; Enterobacterales; Yersiniaceae
Description: bacterial SSU rRNA
Rfam family: Bacterial small subunit ribosomal RNA
Source: RNAcentral
UAAUACGGAGGGUGCAAGCAUUAAUCGGAAUUACUGGGCGUAAAGCGCACGCAGGCGGUUUGUUAAGUCAGAUGUGAAAUCCCCGGGCUCAACCUGGGAACUGCAUUUGAAACUGGCAAGCUAGAGUCUCGUAGAGGGGGGUAGAAUUCCAGGUGUAGCGGUGAAAUGCGUAGAGAUCUGGAGGAAUACCGGUGGCGAAGGCGGCCCCCUGGACGAAGACUGACGCUCAGGUGCGAAAGCGUGGGGAGCAAACAGGAUUAGAUACCCUGGUAGUCCACGCUGUAAACGAUGUCGAUUUGGAGGUUGUGCCCUUGAGGCGUGGCUUCCGGAGCUAACGCGUUAAAUCGACCGCCUGGGGAGUACGGCCGCAAGGUUA